CCUACGGGGGGCUGCAGUAGGGAAUAUUGCGCAAUGGCCGGAAGUCUGACGCAGCGACGCCGCGUGAGCGAUGAAGGCCUUCGGGUCGUAAAGCUCUGUCCCUGGGGAAGAAGGUCUUCGGACUUGACGGUACCCAAGAAGAAAGCCCCGGCUAACUACGUGCCAGCAGCCGCGGUAAGACGUAGGGGGCAAGCGUUACCCGGAAUUACUGGGCGUAAAGGGGGCGUAGGCGGUAAAAGAAGUCAUCUGUGAAAACCUAUUGCUCAACGAUAGGCUAGCGGAUGAAACUGAAUUACUUGAGGGCACCAGAGGUAGACGGAAUUACCCGAGUAGGGGUGAAAUCCGCAGAUACGGGUAGGAACGCCGGUGGAGAAGUCGGUCUACUGGGGUGCACCAGACGCUGAGGCCCGAAAGCUAGGGGAGCAAACCGGAUUAGAUACCCCGGUAG
Molecule: ribosomal RNA, 448 nt
Filed under: uncultured Thermotogae bacterium
Lineage: Bacteria; Thermotogati; Thermotogota; Thermotogae
Description: bacterial SSU rRNA
Rfam family: Bacterial small subunit ribosomal RNA
Source: RNAcentral